RNAcentral lists this ribosomal RNA (494 nucleotides) under uncultured bacterium. Its description in RNAcentral is "partial 16S ribosomal RNA". It matches the Rfam family "Bacterial small subunit ribosomal RNA", at positions 28 to 507 of the family's 1533-position model. The record is from RNAcentral.
GACGAACGCUGGCGGCGUGCUUAACACAUGCAAGUCGAACGGUGAAGCGCCUUCCUUUUUGGUGGGUGUGGAUGAGUGGCGAACGGGUGAGUAACACGUGAGUAACCUGCCCCCUUCUUCUGGAUAACCGCAUGAAAGUGUGCCUAAUACGGGAUAUUCUGGGUCUGUCGCAUGAUGGGUCUGGGAAAGAUAUUGUUUCGGUGGGGGAUGGGCUCGCGGCCUAUCAGCUUGUUGGUGGGGUGAUGGCCUACCAAGGCGGUGACGGGUAGCCGGCCUGAGAGGGUGGACGGUCACACUGGGACUGAGACACGGCCCAGACUCCUACGGGAGGCAGCAGUGGGGAAUAUUGCACAAUGGGCGCAAGCCUGAUGCAGCGACGCCGCGUGAGGGAUGGAGGCCUUCGGGUUGUGAACCUCUUUCGCCAGUGAAGCAGGCCUGCCUCGUUUGUGGGUGGGUUGACGGUAGCUGGAUAAGAAGCGCCGGCUAACUACGUG